AACGAUUAAAAACAAAAUGAGAUAAGAAAGAGAUAAUUCUAACACUUUCAUUCUUUCUCCUCAGAUCUGAGAGCUCUCUACACUCACUAAUCUCUUCCCAUACCACUGCUGGUGUUCAUCAUGAACACCAACACCUCCUUCAAUUCAGCCCAUCCUCCACCAUACUCCCCAGUUCUCCAGUUGAAGUUCAACUAGGACCAUCAUCCUGAACCUAGACUAGGUUGAGCUUCAUCUUCAACCUUGAGUCUCUUCCACUUGAAACCUAGCUUCACCAGAGACGGGUGGUGGCCCAUGGCGGCACCACCUUCUUCUCCGGCUAACCCUACCUAAAAACUACCAUGAUUCAAAAACUCUAAACACUAACCUCCAUUUAAACACUCUCCUAGUCUCAAAUCCGGCCUUAGUUUCUGCAAACUCCUCUCCACAUGUCUAGAUAGGAUACCUCAGUAACCCAAACCCUAACCUAUUCUAAAACUUAUCAAAAUCGCAAACCUCCCAUGCAAAACCUCUUCACCUUAAGCCCCAUAAUCACAAAACCUAAGCUGAAACCUCCAACAACCCCAAAACAAGUCCAGAUCGGGACAAAAAUGAAGAAAUCAAAAUGCUUCAAAUAAAACUCCAAGCAAUCAAAAUAAACUAAAGCAAGCAGGAAGACUUCAAACAACAAAUCAAAGCAAAGAGAAGUAUCAUCAAUAAUUUAAAACAAGCUCACAAGGAGUUCAAAGUUGUACCUAUCAGAGUCUCUUCGAUGGAACUUCUAAAAAGGUGAUUGUGUCUUAACUUCCCUUUUCUGCUUUAGUUCAACCCUCCUCUCCUCCUUAUUUUCUUAUGUUGUUGUGUGUUGUACUGAUUUGUGUAUGUUGUUGUGUUAUGAUGUUGUGUUAUGCUAUUGUUAAUUAGGGAUGUGUUAGGUUUAGCUCAAUUACUGUAGAAUUUCAAUGAGAAAUUCUAAGUAAUUUUUAGGGUUAUAGCUCUUAGUAAGGAAUUAAUAAUGAGGAAAUAAGGUGAAUUAACUCAACAGAAAAAUGAUGCCCUAAAAAUCACGUAGAUUAAUUCAUAUAGGAAAUAAUUUAUAAGGGAAUCAGGCUUGAAUAAAUUUCUGCAGAGUGACUCUAAUGGUUCUCUGUGUGUGCUUGAAUGAAUAAUUUCUUGAUUUAUAUAGGGAAUUUUGGCAUGUAUUAAAUCCUUGGAAGUAUGUGAAUGAAAUUUUGUUACACUUGAUUCAUUUUGAUGUGAAGUUGUUGCUAAAAAUGGGAUUGAAAUGGGUGUCAAUUUGUGUGUGUGAGAACUUUCCUUGUGGUCCCCCCUUGAUUUCUCAAUAAAAUAAAAAUUCUAUGUUUUUGUUUUAUAUACACAUGUGAAAAUAGCUUGGAUUAGCUUGGCUGAGCAACAACUCACAUGGAGGAGACUUGAAGAAAAUGGCUUGCUUGCUUGAGGUAGCUCACAAGGAAGAAGAUUGAAGAAAAUGACUUACUUGAAGGUGUGACAAGCUGGUAGUGCUUCAUUCAGGGUCGGCCCUGUGUAACUGCAGCAUGUGCUGCAGCACAGGGUCCCAAAUUUUGAAUUUUGAAUUUUUUUUUCUUCAUAAAUAUUAAUAAAAAUAAAUAAAAUGUUAUUAAAAAAAUUCAAUAAUUGCAAGAAAUGUUAUGAUAAAAACUCAAUACAUACAAAAAUUAAGAUUGACCAAAACUCAAAAUAAUUAUAAUUAAAUAUAUUUUUAAUUAAUACAUAAUUGUAUUUUUGAUUUUUUUUUAUAAAAUUUGGACCCAUUUUUGAAAUUAGAACGGGGCAUCCGAUAUGAUUGGACCGGAUCUGGCUUCAUUAUAUAUUAUUUUUGCCAAUUCUUGUAUUUGUUAAGAAUAAUGAAAACAUGUACUGACUGGGCAACUUUGAUGUAUAGAAUACUUAAUAUAAGUUCUAUGUUAUUCUAUUUUUUUUCUUCAAGUUUUGUACCAAAGUUAGACAUUAUACCUCUUGAAUAGUUAUGGAAUACUUAGGGUUAAUGUAUGAAAUAUUAUUUCUCUCUAAUUAAAUAACAACCAUGAACCAAGUAAAAACAAAUGUCAAAUGAGUGACACAAAUGACUCAUGAAGUGAACAUUAAAUAAUGAGAAACAAAACAAAAUUGUGCAAAAAUGGAAAUGCAAAUGACAAAUGAUAUUUGGGUAAUGUGCUAAAGAAUUACCUUUGCAUGAUGUAGAAAAGUCUAUAACCAAUUAAACAAAGUCAACAAGUCAAAAUUAUGCAGAUGAAUGGUUUUCUAGAACUGAUGAAAGUACAUGACCAAAUGAAAUGGUCAUGUUAAUGCAGAUGAAUUGAGAAAUACAAUGCAAAUUAAAGGUAGGACAAAUUUUGGGUAUGAGACUCUACAUUUGUCAUUUGAGUCUCAGGCACUAAUUCUUCCUUCUCUACAGAUUGGCCAUUCACUUAGAUAUUGCUUAGUUCUCUUGGAUUGAUAUUUGGUUUGACAACUUGUUGUUUCUCAACUACUACAAAUUUUGCUUUAUUUGUUUGGUCAUUUCUAGUUGUGGUUUCCACUUGUCUGUAUACCUUUUUAGUCUCCAUAUUUUUCUUAUCAUUUUCAAGUUGUGGGUCAUCAUCCAACUUCCUUCUUUUUCACGUUUCAAAACUAUGUCAUAUGUUAUUACACACUGGAAAGGAAUCGGGAAAAAUUUAUACUCAAGUCCUACAAAUAGCGCAUAACCUUGUCUUUCUACUAAAACCUUAUAUCUUAACUCCUUAGUUAGGUCAAGGUCCACUAGAACUCUCACAUAGUGGCCAAAUGGUCUAUCAAAAUAACUUGUGAUUGUUGUAAAUUAUAUGCAUAAAGGAGUUCUGAUGUUGCUUGCGAUGGAAAAAACUAUUCUUGGCAUCUAAUGUUCCUGGGAUAAGCCAUGUAUUCUCAUCCAAACGUGAGCAGAGGUUUGCUUCAACUGACUAGGAUUAAAAUCCUUACUCCACGGAAAGAGUUUGAGGAAACGGGGGUUGUUGUUCUAAUAUUUUAUCGAUCUAACUCUUCUAACAUCCUUUAUAUAAGAAAAUGCAAACUCAAAGUAGUCUUUUCCUAGAGAGGUGAUUCCCCAUUUCCAAUAGAUUUCUAGAGAUUCGCGAGCUUACUUUUGAGGGCAAAAACUGUUAAAGGUGAAGAUUCUUUUGGCCAAAUCACACGUCCAUGUAGGUUUUGCUUACAUGAUUCUACUUACAGAAUAUAUUACUCAUUCAGUAUAACAAUUACUAGCAUAUGGGCUUGUUUGUUUCAACUUUAAAAAAUGGACUUUUUUUCUUCGUAUUUUAAAAAAUGGAUUUUAUAAAAUUGUUUUUCAAAAUAUUACAAGUUAUUUUAGAUUUGUUUUUUCUAAAUUGAAGUACUAAUUUUGACAUCCUAUAACAUAAACAUACAUUAUUGUAGAUCAAAAUAUAGUCGAAAUUGCAAUUUUUUCAAAAAAUUGCAUCUCAAAAAUGUUUUUCAUGAAAAAAAAGCCUCAAAAUUAAGUGAUUUUUUUUUUAAUUUUGAUCUAAAAAAAGUUUUAAUAAAAUGAUGAAAUAUAUAGAAUAACAUUUUAAGAAUAAUUAUUCAAACCAAAAUUUCAUUUAAAGCUUUUAUGAAAAUUUUCUAUAUAAUUUUUUUCUUCACAAAAUUAUGUUACACUAUAAAAAUAAUUAUUUAAAAAAGCCAAAACUAAUGGACCUUGUAUCCUUUGACACACGGUGUUGGGAGUUGACUGAGAGCUAUAUUGCAAACGUUGUUUAUUGCCUCUACAAACAUUUUCUAUUGUUUUAAGGGAGCAUCUGAAGACUUUGGAGAUGGUUGAGUUGGGGAUGUAUUGUUGUGCUAUUUAUAUAUGCAAGUUUACACAGUCCAACAGUAGCAAGUGAUGUAAAAGUAAGACUAUCAAUCACACAAAAAUUAUAUUAAUUUAAAUUGAUUCUC
This 3930-nucleotide long non-coding RNA is filed under the name Lathyrus oleraceus (garden pea). RNAcentral describes it as "Pisum sativum (pea) long non-coding RNA (PSAT_LNC033220)". Lineage: Eukaryota; Viridiplantae; Streptophyta; Magnoliopsida; Fabales; Fabaceae. The record is from RNAcentral.